This 730-nucleotide ribosomal RNA is filed under the name Micrococcus luteus. RNAcentral describes it as "bacterial SSU rRNA". It matches the Rfam family "Bacterial small subunit ribosomal RNA", at positions 1 to 752 of the family's 1533-position model. The record is from RNAcentral. Lineage: Bacteria; Bacillati; Actinomycetota; Actinomycetes; Micrococcales; Micrococcaceae.
UAGAGUGAUCCUGGCUCAGGAUGAACGCUGGCGGCGUGCUUAACACAUGCAAGUCGAACGAUGAAGCCCAGCUUGCUGGGUGGAUUAGUGGCGAACGGGUGAGUAACACGUGAGUAACCUGCCCUUAACUCUGGGAUAAGCCUGGGAAACUGGGUCUAAUACCGGAUAGGAGCGUCCACCGCAUGGUGGGUGUUGGAAAGAUUUAUCGGUUUUGGAUGGACUCGCGGCCUAUCAGCUUGUUGGUGAGGUAAUGGCUCACCAAGGCGACGACGGGUAGCCGGCCUGAGAGGGUGACCGGCCACACUGGGACUGAGACACGGCCCAGACUCCUACGGGAGGCAGCAGUGGGGAAUAUUGCACAAUGGGCGCAAGCCUGAUGCAGCGACGCCGCGUGAGGGAUGACGGCCUUCGGGUUGUAAACCUCUUUCAGUAGGGAAGAAGCGAAAGUGACGGUACCUGCAGAAGAAGCACCGGCUAACUACGUGCCAGCAGCCGCGGUAAUACGUAGGGUGCGAGCGUUAUCCGGAAUUAUUGGGCGUAAAGAGCUCGUAGGCGGUUUGUCGCGUCUGUCGUGAAAGUCCGGGGCUUAACCCCGGAUCUGCGGUGGGUACGGGCAGACUAGAGUGCAGUAGGGGAGACUGGAAUUCCUGGUGUAGCGGUGGAAUGCGCAGAUAUCAGGAGGAACACCGAUGGCGAAGGCAGGUCUCUGGGCUGUAACGAGAGGGAAAGC